This 395-nucleotide ribosomal RNA is filed under the name uncultured bacterium. RNAcentral's name for it is "partial 16S ribosomal RNA". It matches the Rfam family "Bacterial small subunit ribosomal RNA", at positions 338 to 731 of the family's 1533-position model. The record is from RNAcentral.
CCUACGGGUGGCAGCAGUGAGGAAUAUUGGUCAAUGGACGAAAGUCUGAACCAGCCAAGUCGCGUGAAGGAUGACGGUCCUAUGGAUUGUAAACCUCUUUUAUCAAGGAGCAAAAGGAGCCACGUGUGGCGUUUUGCGAGUACCUGAAGAAUAAGGAUCGGCUAACUCCGUGCCAGCAGCCGCGGUAAUACGGAGGAUGCGAGCGUUAUCCGGAUUUAUUGGGUUUAAAGGGUGCGCAGGCGGAAGGACAAGUCAGAGGUAAAAGUUCGGGCUUCAACCCCGUCGUGCCUUUGAAACUGGCGAUCUUGAGUGAGGGAGAGGUAUGCGGAAUGCGUGGUGUAGCGGUGAAAUGCAUAGAGAUCACGCAGAACGCCGAUUGCGAAGGCAGCAUACCG